UGGCGGUCAGAGCGAAGAGGUUCCACCCGUUCCCAUCCCGAACACGGCCGUUAAGCUCUUCGGCGCCGAUGGUAGUGGGGGGUUCUCCCCCUGCGAGCGUAGGUCGCUGCCAG
RNAcentral lists this ribosomal RNA (113 nucleotides) under uncultured Sporolactobacillus sp. Lineage: Bacteria; Bacillati; Bacillota; Bacilli; Caryophanales; Sporolactobacillaceae. The record is from RNAcentral.